Molecule: ribosomal RNA, 1363 nt
Filed under: uncultured bacterium
Lineage: Bacteria
Description: bacterial SSU rRNA
Rfam family: Bacterial small subunit ribosomal RNA
Source: RNAcentral
GAUGAACGCUGGCGGCGUGCCUAAUACAUGCAAGUCGAGCGAACGGACGAGAAGCUUGCUUCUCUGAUGUUAGCGGCGGACGGGUGAGUAACACGUGGAUAACCUACCUAUAAGACUGGGAUAACUUCGGGAAACCGGAGCUAAUACCGGAUAAUAUUUUGAACCGCAUGGUUCAAAAGUAAAAGACGGUCUUGCUGUCACUUAUAGAUGGAUCCGCGCUGCAUUAGCUAGUUGGUAAGGUAACGGCUUACCAAGGCAACGAUGCAUAGCCGACCUGAGAGGGUGAUCGGCCACACUGGAACUGAGACACGGUCCAGACUCCUACGGGAGGCAGCAGUAGGGAAUCUUCCGNCAUGGGCGAAAGCCUGACGGGAGCACGCCGCGUGAGUGAUGAAGGUCUUCGGAUCGUAAAACUCUGGUAUUUAGGAAGAACAUAUGUGUAAGUAACUGUGCACAUCUUGACGGUACCCUAUCAGAAAGCACGGCUAACUACGUGCCAGCAGCCGCGGUAUACGUAGGUGGCAGCGUUAUCGGGAUUAUUGGCCUAAAGCGCGUAGCGGUUUUUUAGUCUGAUGUGAAAGCCCACGGCUCAACCGUGGAGGGUCAUUGGAAACUGGAAAACUUGAGUGCAGAAGAGGAAAGUGGAAUUCCAUGUGUAGCGGUGAAAUGCGCAGAGAUAUGGAGGAACACCAGUGGCGAAGGCGACUUUCUGGUCUGUAACUGACGCUGAUGUGCGAAAGCGUGGGGAUCAAACAGGAUUAGAUACCCCGGUAGUCCACGCCGUAAACGAUGAGUGCUAAGUGUUAGGGGGUUUCCGCCCCUUAGUGCUGCAGCUAACGCAUUAAGCACUCCGCCUGGGGAGUACGACCGCAAGGUUGAAACUCAAAGGAAUUGACGGGGACCCGCACAAGCGGUGGAGCAUGUGGUUUAAUUCGAAGCAACGCGAAGAACCUUACCAAAUCUUGACAUCCUUUGACAACUCUAGAGAUAGAGCCUUCCCCUUCGGGGGACAAAGUGACAGGUGGUGCAUGGUUGUCGUCAGCCCGUGUCGUGAGAUGUUGGGUUAAGUCCCGCAACGAGCGCAACCCUUAAGCUUAGUUGCCAUCAUUAAGUUGGGCACUCUAAGUUGACUGCCGGUGACAAACCGGAGGAAGGUGGGGAUGACGUCAAAUCAUCAUGCCCCUUAUGAUUUGGGCUACACACGUGCUACAAUGGACAAUACAAAGGGCAGCGAAACCGCGAGGUCAAGCAAAUCCCAUAAAGUUGUUCUCAGUUCGGAUUGUAGUCUGCAACUCGACUACAUGAAGCUGGAAUCGCUAGUAAUCGUAGAUCAGCAUGCUACGGUGAAUACGUUCCCGGGUCU